AGAAAAGGAAGAGGUCCACAAGGGACGA
This 28-nucleotide non-coding RNA is filed under the name Bombyx mori (domestic silkworm). Lineage: Eukaryota; Metazoa; Arthropoda; Insecta; Lepidoptera; Bombycidae. The record is from RNAcentral.